RNAcentral lists this non-coding RNA (100 nucleotides) under Octodon degus (degu). The record is from RNAcentral. Lineage: Eukaryota; Metazoa; Chordata; Mammalia; Rodentia; Octodontidae.
GGCCUUUCGCCCGUUGGGCUGCUGGGGAUCCCACUGCUCGUCAGCCAGGCCUGGAGGCUGAGAUCAGCCCUGGAGGAGUAUCACCCGGGCAGCCUUGUUU